RNAcentral lists this ribosomal RNA (235 nucleotides) under uncultured Staphylococcus sp. Its description in RNAcentral is "partial 16S ribosomal RNA". It matches the Rfam family "Bacterial small subunit ribosomal RNA", at positions 105 to 334 of the family's 1533-position model. Lineage: Bacteria; Bacillati; Bacillota; Bacilli; Caryophanales; Staphylococcaceae. The record is from RNAcentral.
GGUGAGUAACACGUGGAUAACCUACCUAUAAGACUGGGAUAACUUCGGGAAACCGGAGCUAAUACCGGAUAAUAUUUUGAACCACAUGGUUCAAAAGUGAAAGACGGUCUUGCUGUCACUUAUAGAUGGAUCCGCGCUGCAUUAGCUAGUUGGUAAGGUAACGGCUUACCAAGGCAACGAUGCAUAGCCGACCUGAGAGGGUGAUCGGCCACACUGGAACUGAGACACGGUCCAG